This 531-nucleotide ribosomal RNA is filed under the name uncultured Glomeraceae. RNAcentral's name for it is "SSU rRNA". It matches the Rfam family "Eukaryotic small subunit ribosomal RNA", at positions 548 to 1077 of the family's 1831-position model. The record is from RNAcentral. Lineage: Eukaryota; Fungi; Glomeromycota; Glomeromycetes; Glomerales; Glomeraceae.
UUGGAGGGCAAGUCUGGUGCCAGCAGCCGCGGUAAUUCCAGCUCCAAUAGCGUAUAUUAAAGUUGUUGCAGUUAAAAAGCUCGUAGUUGAAUUUCGGGAUCAAAUUGUCGGUCGUGCCAAUUGGUACGCACUGGCAUUAUUGGUUCCUAUCUUCUGAAAAACCGCGAUUGUCAUUAAUUUGGUGUCAUGGGGAAUCAGGACUGUUACUUUGAAAAAAUUAGAGUGUUUAAAGCAGGCGCACGCUUGAAUACAUUAGCAUGGAAUAAUGAAAUAGGACGUUUGAUUCUAUUUUGUUGGUUUCUAGGAUCGACGUAAUGAUUAAUAGGGAUAGUUGGGGGCAUUAGUAUUCAAUUGUCAGAGGUGAAAUUCUUGGAUUUAUUGAAGACUAACUACUGCGAAAGCAUUUGCCAAGGAUGUUUUUCAUUAAUCAAGAACGAAAGUUAGGGGGAUCGAAGACGAUCAGAUACCGUCGUAGUCUUAACCAUAAACUAUGCCGACUAGGGAUCGGAUGAUGUUAAUUUAUAAUGACUC